GUAAGAUUUCUCCGGCGCCCCCAACCAUUGAAGAUAGCUUAAGGUCAGCCGGAUUGUGGGACUUUACUAAUUUAAACAAAUAUAACGUUGAUAAUCGUUUAAUAGUCGCGUUAUGUGAAAGAUGGAGGCCGGAGACCCACACAUUUCUUUUUCCAUCGGGCGAGUGUACAAUAACGUUGGAAGACGUUCAUAUGCUCCUUGGUUUAAAGGUUAACGGUGAACCGAUAACCGGUAAAACAGAAGUUGGGUGGGAGAUUGUUGAACCU
RNAcentral lists this long non-coding RNA (266 nucleotides) under Medicago truncatula (barrel medic). RNAcentral's name for it is "lncRNA gene11195". The record is from RNAcentral. Lineage: Eukaryota; Viridiplantae; Streptophyta; Magnoliopsida; Fabales; Fabaceae.